RNAcentral lists this long non-coding RNA (295 nucleotides) under Prunus persica (peach). Its description in RNAcentral is "long non-coding RNA (PPER_LNC000112)". The record is from RNAcentral. Lineage: Eukaryota; Viridiplantae; Streptophyta; Magnoliopsida; Rosales; Rosaceae.
CAUUUGCCUGACCACCAUAGUUUCCUGAAGCCUGGGAUGGAUCAGAUCUCCAACCAGCAUUUCCAUAACCUGUAUUUCCAUUUGAAUCGCCAUAGCCACUCCCAACAUAGCCACCACCACUACCUUGCUCCCCACCUGCGCCACCAACAUUGUUAUUUGGGACACUCCCUGAACGCCCUCCAACAGCACCAUAACCAGACGGAUUUGCAUAGGACGCAUCACUUCCACUGUACCCACCAUAACCAUAACCUUGCGCUCCAUACCCAGCCGCUGCACUAGGUGAUUGACCAGCAGG